RNAcentral lists this small RNA (26 nucleotides) under Bombyx mori (domestic silkworm). Its description in RNAcentral is "ovarian small RNA-37366". The record is from RNAcentral. Lineage: Eukaryota; Metazoa; Arthropoda; Insecta; Lepidoptera; Bombycidae.
UUCGAAGUUGGACUUACCUAGCUGGA